Molecule: non-coding RNA, 327 nt
Organism: Lonchura striata (white-rumped munia)
Lineage: Eukaryota; Metazoa; Chordata; Aves; Passeriformes; Estrildidae
Source: RefSeq, a predicted model, not a curated record
ACACAAGGUCGUGCCAGACAGGACUGGUGUUGAUUCUAAUUCUUUCUGGAACAGAAACACUUUUCCUGUAAUUCGGCCUCACUAUUCCCCGAUGAAAGACAAAAUUAUAUUAAAAGGUGCAUUUAAAUGACAUUCAGAGCAUGAUUAUGCUAAAAGCAUAAGAGCAUCGUGCAGAUUGUGGAGCUUCUCUGCAUUUUUAAAUUCUAAACAAGGUACCUUUUACAUGAUGCUUCAAUAGUAGAGACAAUUACUGUUCGCCUACCGAGUUUUUGGGAUUGUUUUAAACUUUAAUGAUAUUUGCAUGCUCUAUUCUUGGCUUUAUGGAGU